RNAcentral lists this ribosomal RNA (254 nucleotides) under uncultured bacterium. RNAcentral describes it as "partial 16S ribosomal RNA". It matches the Rfam family "Bacterial small subunit ribosomal RNA", at positions 470 to 723 of the family's 1533-position model. The record is from RNAcentral.
UGACGGUACCCCCAGAAGAAGCCCCGGCUAACUCCGUGCCAGCAGCCGCGGUAAUACGGAGGGUGCAAGCGUUGUUCGGAAUCACUGGGCGUAAAGGGCGCGUAGGCGGCUUUGUAAGUCAGGGGUGAAAUCCCGGGGCUCAACCCCGGACCUGCUUUUGAUACUGCAAGUCUUGAGUACGGGAGAGGAAAGUGGAAUUCCUAGUGUAGCGGUGAAAUGCGUAGAUAUUAGGAAGAACACCAGUGGCGAAGGCG